Long non-coding RNA from Arvicanthis niloticus (Nile rat), 991 nucleotides. RefSeq lists it as uncharacterized. The record is from RefSeq and is a predicted model, not a curated record. Lineage: Eukaryota; Metazoa; Chordata; Mammalia; Rodentia; Muridae.
GAUGGUUGCUGUUGGUUGCAAUUUGUAAGUAGUCAUGUGUAAAAAAGAAACAAGAAGAAAUUAGAUGUCCUGGCAGAAAAGAUCAAACUAAUCCUAAGGAAUUUGAAACUCCUAGCCGGCAGAAAGUAGUCUAAAGGACGCGAUCACUCAGCAUGGAAGCAAAGAAAAGUCACUAAGGAGACAUCGGGAAGCCUCAGUAACUGAGCUCUGGAGAGAAGAUGGACACAUCGCCUGUAGAGCUAACAGGGUGGUCUGAGCUGAACACGGACAAGGACUGCAGGUUUCGUGGAAGCAGGAGUUAUGAGCACCUGCUUCUCCCCAUCCCAUCCUGCGAGUGAGAUGCCUAACCACCUCUGCUUUGCUACAGCAACCAUUACUGUCAGAACACCAAAGAAGUCAAAGAACGGGCAUUCCAAAACUCCUUUUAUACUUUUCCUAAGACAUAAAUCAUCCAACUGAGUCCUCCGAAGACUUAUAAAUUCUAAGUCUGAGAACAAAAUUAUGGUUAAAUGUUUAAUUGAUGUUUAUUAUAGCUAGUGUAUUAGUUUUUGAAAGGUCAAAUUUAUGCUACAAUGAAGCAUAAUAUUUUUCCACAUUCUGUGGCUCUAAUACAUAGCACACCUGGGGCCAACAGUAUAAUAAAUAUCUUCUAUUAUUCUGUAGUGUUCUUGCAUGCAAACCUGUGUGGGGCCAAAAUAAAUAGUGUUGAAUUUCAAGCUAGUAUGAACCUUAGGCAGUCACUUCAUCUCUCAGGACUCAACUCUCAGAUCUGUAAAAGGACCGUGAAGGGAUAACUCUCUUGGCUUCUUCCAUGUCCAAAACUGUAAGCACAAUUGAACAUUUUAAAUUACUGUACAAUUUACAGAUUUAUCUCUCUCCUUUUACAAUAGAUUUUAUCCCAGCUAUUUACUGAGUCUUAGUCUCUCAUUAGGAAUGCAAAUUCUGAAGCUAAUACUGUAUCUGCAGGACAAUAAAAUUGACCUCAGCAUGA